GACGAACGCUGGCGGCGUGCUUAACACAUGCAAGUCGAACGGAAAGGCCCUGCUUUUGUGGGGUGCUCGAGUGGCGAACGGGUGAGUAACACGUGAGUAACCUGCCCCUGACUUUGGGAUAACUUCAGGAAACUGGGGCUAAUACCGGAUAGGAGCUCCUGCUGCAUGGUGGGGGCUGGAAAGUUUCGGCGGUUGGGGAUGGACUCGCGGCUUAUCAGCUUGUUGGUGGGGUAGUGGCUUACCAAGGCUUUGACGGGUAGCCGGCCUGAGAGGGUGACCGGCCACAUUGGGACUGGGAUACGGCACAGACUCCUACGGGAGGCAGCAGUGGGGAAUAUUGCACAAUGGGCGGAAGCCUGAUGCAGCAACGCCGCGUGCGGGAUGACGGCCUUCGGGUUGUAAACCGCUUUCGCCUGUGACGAAGCGUGAGUGACGGUAAUGGGUAAAGAAGCACCGGCUAACUACGUG
Molecule: ribosomal RNA, 468 nt
Filed under: uncultured bacterium
Lineage: Bacteria
Description: partial 16S ribosomal RNA
Rfam family: Bacterial small subunit ribosomal RNA
Source: RNAcentral